This 156-nucleotide ribosomal RNA is filed under the name Thysananthus mollis. Its description in RNAcentral is "5.8S ribosomal RNA". The stretch from base 4 to 137 matches the Rfam family "5.8S ribosomal RNA". Rfam says of the family: 5.8S ribosomal RNA (5.8S rRNA) is a component of the large subunit of the eukaryotic ribosome. It is transcribed by RNA polymerase I as part of the 45S precursor that also contains 18S and 28S rRNA. Lineage: Eukaryota; Viridiplantae; Streptophyta; Jungermanniopsida; Porellales; Lejeuneaceae. The record is from RNAcentral.
AAUGACUCUCAGCAACGGAUAUCUUGGCUCUUGCAACAAUGAAAAACGCAAGAAUUGCAGAAUUCCGCGAAUCAUCGAGUUUUUGAACGCAAGUUGCGCCCGAGGCUCGUCCCGAGGGCAUGCCCGCCUGAGCGUCCGCUCUGACCCACCCACCAA